AGAACGAACGCCGGCGGCAUGCCUAAUACAUGCAAGUCGAACGAGAUCUUCGGGUCUAGUGGCGCACGGGUGCGUAACGCGUGGGAAUCUACCCUUGGGUUCGGAAUAACAGUUGGAAACGACUGCUAAUACCGGAUGAUGACGAAAGUCCAAAGAUUUAUCGCCCAAGGAUGAGCCCGCGUAGGAUUAGCUAGUUGGUGAGGUAAAGGCUCACCAAGGCUACGAUCCUUAGCUGGGUCUGAGAGGAUGAUCAGCCACACCUGGGACUGAGACACGGCCCAGACUCCUACGGGAGGCAGCAGUAGGGAAUAUUGGACAAUGGGGGCAACCCGUGAUCCAGCAAUGCCGCGUGAGUGAUGAAGGCCUUAGGUUGAAAGCUCUUUUACCCGAGAUGAUAAUGACAGUAUCGGAGAAUAAGCUCCGGCUAACUCUAGUGCCAGCAGCCGC
Molecule: ribosomal RNA, 447 nt
Filed under: uncultured soil bacterium
Lineage: Bacteria
Description: bacterial SSU rRNA
Rfam family: Bacterial small subunit ribosomal RNA
Source: RNAcentral